AGGAGGAACAAUGUGUAAUCAGUCAGUCCCACAACAACACAUAUUAUUAAUUUUCCUUUACAUGAGGGACAGUAACUUCACUUAUCGGACCGGUCAAGCUGGAGAUAUUAAUGGUCUAGUCCACUCCAGAGAACUUUCGAGGGCGCUGCC
Long non-coding RNA from Thalassophryne amazonica, 150 nucleotides. RefSeq lists it as uncharacterized. Lineage: Eukaryota; Metazoa; Chordata; Actinopteri; Batrachoidiformes; Batrachoididae. The record is from RefSeq and is a predicted model, not a curated record. The transcript has 3 exons.